UAAUUAGUAAAAUUAAAAAUUUUUUUUAUGAAUUAGGCAAAUAAUGUUUUCCCCUGUUUAUCAAAAACAUCUCUUUAAGUAUUUAUUUAAAGUAUAACCUGCUCAAUGAUUAUUUAAAUAGCCGCGGUAAUUUAACUGGGCUAAGGUAGCAUAAUAAUUAGUCUUUUAAUUGAGGUCUGGAAUGAAGGGUUGGACAAAAAAUUAACUUUAUUAUUUAUAUUUUUUUGAAUUUUAUUUUUUAGUUAAAAAGCUUAAAUGUUAAAGAGGGACGAUAAGACCCCAUAGAUCUUUAAUUUAAUUUUGUUUUUAAAAUUUUAGUUGUUUUAUUUUUUAUUCAAAAUUUAAUUUUAGUUGGGGCGAUGAAAAAACUUUUAAUCUUUUUUUUUUUUUCACAAUUAUUUUUGGUUUUUUGAUCCUUAAUUUUGAUUAUAAGAUAAAGAUACCUUAGGGAUAACAGCGUUAUUUAAUUGGAGAGUUCUUAUUGAUAAUUAAGUUUGCGACCUCGAUGUUGGAUUAAAAAUUUUUGUGGGGUAGGUUCUACAAAUUAAUAUCUGUCGACCGAGGGG
RNAcentral lists this ribosomal RNA (566 nucleotides) under Dictyophara nakanonis. Its description in RNAcentral is "partial 16S ribosomal RNA". Lineage: Eukaryota; Metazoa; Arthropoda; Insecta; Hemiptera; Dictyopharidae. The record is from RNAcentral.